GACGAACGCUGGCGGCGUGCUUAACACAUGCAAGUCGAGCGGUAAGGCCCUUUCGGGGGUACACGAGCGGCGAACGGGUGAGUAACACGUGGGUGACCUGCCCUCAGCUCUGGGAUAAGCCUGGGAAACCGGGUCUAAUACUGGAUAUGACUCCAUGACGCAUGUUGUGGGGUGGAAAGCCUUGUGCGGCUGAGGAUGGGCCCGCGGCCUAUCAGCUUGUUGGUGGGGUGAGGCCUACCAAGGCGACGACGGGUAGCCGGCCUGAGAGGGCGACCGGCCACACUGGGACUGAGACACGGCCCAGACUCCUACGGGAGGCAGCAGUGGGAAUCUUGCGCAAUGGGCGAAAGCCUGACGCAGCGACGCCGCGUGAGGGAUGACGGCCUGG
RNAcentral lists this ribosomal RNA (388 nucleotides) under uncultured bacterium. RNAcentral describes it as "bacterial SSU rRNA". It matches the Rfam family "Bacterial small subunit ribosomal RNA", at positions 28 to 419 of the family's 1533-position model. The record is from RNAcentral.